This 508-nucleotide ribosomal RNA is filed under the name uncultured Lachnospiraceae bacterium. RNAcentral's name for it is "bacterial SSU rRNA". It matches the Rfam family "Bacterial small subunit ribosomal RNA", at positions 1 to 507 of the family's 1533-position model. The record is from RNAcentral. Lineage: Bacteria; Bacillati; Bacillota; Clostridia; Lachnospirales; Lachnospiraceae.
AAGUUUGUAGUCCUCGGCGUCAGGAGUGAACGCUGGCGGCGUGCCAACACAUGCAAGUCGAACGGGGCGCGCAGGCUGAGGCUUUUCGGAGCGGAAGCCGGCGCUGCCCGACGUGGCGGACGGGUGAGUAACGCGUGGGCAACCUGCCCUGCACUGGGGGACAACAGCCGGAAACGGCUGCUAAUACCGCAUAUGCCCGCAGCCCCGCAUGGGGCGGCGGGGGAAGCUCCGGCGGUGCAGGAUGGGCCCGCGUCUGAUUAGCUGGGUUGGCGGGGCAACGGCCCACCAAGGCGACGAUCAGUAGCCGGCCUGAGAGGGUGGGCGGCCACAUUGGGACUGGGACACGGCCCAGACUCCUACGGGAGGCAGCAGUGGGGGAUAUUGCACAAUGGGGGGGAACCCUGAUGCAGCGACGCCGCGUGGGCGAUGGAGUGCUUCGGCAUGUAAAGCCCUAUCAGCAGGGAAGAAAAUGACGGUACCUGACUAAGAAGCCCCGGCUAAAUACGUG